This 605-nucleotide ribosomal RNA is filed under the name uncultured bacterium. Its description in RNAcentral is "bacterial SSU rRNA". It matches the Rfam family "Bacterial small subunit ribosomal RNA", at positions 8 to 635 of the family's 1533-position model. The record is from RNAcentral.
AGAGUUUGAUCCUGGCUCGCGCGAAUGUUGGCGGCGCGCCUAACACAUGCAAGUCGUGGGGCAGCAGGCUACUACCUUCGGGUAGUAGUGCUGGCGACCGGCAAACGGGUGAGUAACACGUAGCUUACCUACCCCAGGGUUGGGGAUAACCUCCCGAAAAGGUGGCUAAUACCCAAUAAUGAGGAAACUCCAAAGCCGCAAGGCGCCCUGGGAUGGGGCUGCGUCCCAUCAGGUAGUUGGUGAGGUAACGGCUCACCAAGCCUACGACGGGUAACCGGUCUGAGAGGAUGACCGGUCACAGUGGGACUGAGACACGGCCCGCACCCCUACGGGGGGCAGCAGUGGGGAAUAUUGGGCAAUGGCCGAAAGGCUGACCCAGCGACGCCGCGUGGCGGAUGAAGCCCUUCGGGGUGUAAACGCCUUUUCUUGGGGAAGACAAUGACGGUACCCAAGGAAAAAGGGACGGCUAACUACGUGCCAGCAGCCGCGGUAAUACGUAGGUCCCGAACGUUGCGCGAAAUUACUGGGCGUAAAGGGUCCGUAGGCGGUCUAUCAAGUGGAAGGUGAAAUCCCAUGGCUCAACCAUGGAACUGCCUUCCAAACUG